This 763-nucleotide long non-coding RNA is filed under the name Ictidomys tridecemlineatus (thirteen-lined ground squirrel). Its description in RNAcentral is "lncRNA (ENSSTOG00000034722.1)". Lineage: Eukaryota; Metazoa; Chordata; Mammalia; Rodentia; Sciuridae. The record is from RNAcentral.
UCGAGACAGCCUGGCUGAUAAGUAAGCUGAAAGGCCGUAAACACCAGGGAGGAAUAUUCCGAGGGGAUUGGGACAGGUAGCUGCAGAUGAAGGGUGGGGUGGUUGGCUCCACACCCCCACCCAAUUCUGAGACCCUUGUCACCUGGAUGUCAGCAGCAGGCGACACUUAGGCAGUGCACUCUGGAGUGCGGUGGAUUUGGUUUCAGUGGAAGCUGCUGUUCAGAGUGGAGAUGCUAAUGGUAACCCCUGAAGCUCCCCAACCCCUCCAGCAGCCUGUGAGAGUCAUGCUGACCCUGAGUCAUCACCUGCGUUGAUAGUGUGUGACUUUUGCCAGCCUGAGGAUGCGCUGCAGCUGCUUUGAAACCAGGGAAGAUUGACAUCAUUGCCAUGGAGACUGGAAGUUGAGCAUCUCAAAGUGAGGCUGGAGGUUGGGCCGAGGACUCAACUGGAUUCGGUCUCUUCGCUCCAGAACAGACCUGCUCUCCCGUGUGCCCUCGCAAGGAUCCUCCCCCCACCCCACCCCUACAGUUGCCUUUGGCUCCAGGAGCAAAACUUGGACUGUUCAUCCUUCUGGUCAACCCGCCUCCUCUCCAGGCUCCUCUCGGCAUCCACAUCCCAGGAAGGAACAGCACCUUGGGACUUCUCAGUGCCCGUCAGAUGGGCUGCCCUGAGAGCCACUGUGCCAACAGCAUCAGAAUCCAAGGGGAUUGUGGAGCUGUUGACUGGGGCCGCUUCUGAGCACUGGUUCAGUCUGACUCCUUGA